UACGGAGGGAGCUAGCGUUGUUCGGAAUUACUGGGCGUAAAGCGCACGUAGGCGGCUUUGUAAGUUAGAGGUGAAAGCCCGGAGCUCAACUCCGGAAUUGCCUUUAAGACUGCAUCGCUUGAAUCCAGGAGAGGUGAGUGGAAUUCCGAGUGUAGAGGUGAAAUUCGUAGAUAUUCGGAAGAACACCAGUGGCGAAGGCGGCUCACUGGACUGGUAUUGACGCUGAGGCGCGAAAAGCGUGGGGAGCAAACAGG
RNAcentral lists this ribosomal RNA (254 nucleotides) under uncultured bacterium. RNAcentral describes it as "partial 16S ribosomal RNA". It matches the Rfam family "Bacterial small subunit ribosomal RNA", at positions 524 to 776 of the family's 1533-position model. The record is from RNAcentral.